RNAcentral lists this ribosomal RNA (517 nucleotides) under uncultured Glomus. Its description in RNAcentral is "SSU rRNA". It matches the Rfam family "Eukaryotic small subunit ribosomal RNA", at positions 569 to 1089 of the family's 1831-position model. Lineage: Eukaryota; Fungi; Glomeromycota; Glomeromycetes; Glomerales; Glomeraceae. The record is from RNAcentral.
AGCAGCCGCGGUAAUUCCAGCUCCAAUAGCGUAUAUUAAAGUUGUUGCAGUUAAAAAGCUCGUAGUUGAAUUUCGGGGUUAGUAGGUUGGUCAUGCCUCUGGUAUGUACUGGUCUCACUGAUUCCUCCUUCCUGAUGAGCCGUAAUGCCAUUAAUUUGGUGUUGCGGGGAAUUUGGACUGUUACUUUGAAAAAUUAGAGUGUUUAAAGCAAGCUAACGCUUGAAUACAUUAGCAUGGAAUAAUGAAAUAGGACGUUCGAUCCUAUUUUGUUGGUUUCUAGGAUUGACGUAAUGAUUAAUAGGGAUAGUUGGGGGCAUUAGUAUUCAAUUGUCAGAGGUGAAAUUCUUGGAUUUAUUGAAGACUAACUACUGCGAAAGCAUUUGCCAAGGAUGUUUUCAUUAAUCAAGAACGAAAGUUAGGGGAUCGAAGACGAUCAGAUACCGUCGUAGUCUUAACCAUAAACUAUGCCGACUAGGGAUCGGAUGAUGUUAAUUUUUAAUGACUCAUUCGGCGCCUU